AGCCGAAACGCCCCAUCGAGGGGCGUCGUCUGCGGGUGGUUCUGCGGAAGGUGAAGAUGGCAGCCAACC
This 69-nucleotide non-coding RNA is filed under the name Planctomycetaceae bacterium. The record is from RNAcentral. Lineage: Bacteria; Pseudomonadati; Planctomycetota; Planctomycetia; Planctomycetales; Planctomycetaceae.